UACGAAGGGGGCUAGCGUUGUUCGGAUUUACUGGGCGUAAAGCGCACGUAGGCGGAUCGUUAAGUGAGGGGUGAAAUCCCAGGGCUCAACCCUGGAACUGCCUUUCAUACUGGCGAUCUCGAGUCCGGAAGAGGUGAGUGGAACUCCUAGUGUAGAGGUGGAAUUCGUAGAUAUUGGGAAGAACACCAGUGGCGAAGGCGGCUAACUGGUCCAGUACUGACGCUGAGGUGCGAAAGCGUGGGGAGCAAACAGG
Molecule: ribosomal RNA, 253 nt
Filed under: uncultured bacterium
Lineage: Bacteria
Description: partial 16S ribosomal RNA
Rfam family: Bacterial small subunit ribosomal RNA
Source: RNAcentral